UACGUAGGGAGCAAGCGUUGUCCGGAAUCAUUGGGCGUAAAGAGCGUGUAGGCGGCCUUACAGGUCAGCUGUGAAAACUCGAGGCUCAACCUCGAGACGUCGGUUGAAACCGUAUGGCUAGAGUCCGGAAGAGGAGAGUGGAAUUCCCGGUGUAGCGGUGAAAUGCGCAGAUAUCGGGAAGAACACCCGUGGCGAAGGCGGCUCUCUGGGACGGUACUGACGCUGAGACGCGAAAGCGUGGGGAGCGAACAGG
RNAcentral lists this ribosomal RNA (253 nucleotides) under uncultured bacterium. RNAcentral describes it as "partial 16S ribosomal RNA". It matches the Rfam family "Bacterial small subunit ribosomal RNA", at positions 524 to 776 of the family's 1533-position model. The record is from RNAcentral.